CCUACGGGUGGCAGCAGUGGGGAAUAUUGCACAAUGGGGGAAACCCUGAUGCAGCGACGCCGCGUGAAGGAAGAAGUAUUUCGGUAUGUAAACUUCUAUCAGCAGGGAAGAAAAUGACGGUACCUGACUAAGACGCCCCGGCUAACUACGUGCCAGCAGCCGCGGUAAUACGUAGGGGGCAAGCGUUAUCCGGAUUUACUGGGUGUAAAGGGAGCGUAGGCGGUUUAGCAAGGCAGAAGUGAAAGCCCGGGGCUGAACUCCGGGACUGCCUUUGAAACUGUUGAACUAGAGUGCAGGAGAGGUAAGUGGAAUUCCUAGUGUAGCGGUGAAAUGCGUAGAUAUUAGGAGGAACACCAGUGGCGAAGGCAGCUUACUGGACUGUAAAUGACGCUGAGGCUCGAAAGCGUGGGGAGCAAACAGGAUUAGAUACCCCAGUAGUC
Molecule: ribosomal RNA, 440 nt
Filed under: uncultured bacterium
Lineage: Bacteria
Description: partial 16S ribosomal RNA
Rfam family: Bacterial small subunit ribosomal RNA
Source: RNAcentral